Molecule: transfer RNA, 65 nt
Filed under: Pachydactylus monicae
Lineage: Eukaryota; Metazoa; Chordata; Lepidosauria; Squamata; Gekkonidae
Description: tRNA-Cys
Source: RNAcentral
CUCCGAGGUGGAAAGCACACCGGAAUGCAAGUCCGGAGACGCGCCCAAUAGAGGCGCCGGGGCUU